This is a non-coding RNA of Pisolithus thermaeus, 102 nucleotides long. The record is from the annotation of a GenBank genome assembly. Lineage: Eukaryota; Fungi; Basidiomycota; Agaricomycetes; Boletales; Pisolithaceae.
GCCCGCCUAGCUCAAUCGGAUAGAGCGUCAGACUUUUACGGUCCGUACAAGUCGUACGUGGCAGUGAUCUGAAGGCUGCGAGUUCGACCCUCGCGGUGGGCU